AGCAAAGCUAUCAAUAUGUUACCAGAUUUGAUGAAUGUAUUUGAUAUGGAUCGUUUACUAAAGCGUAGCUUUUUGUUGCUAUGUCCUGUGGAGAUAUAUGGAGAUCUUUUAAAGAACGGAUGCUUUUCUUGCUUGGAGUUGUGCGUCACAAUGAGAAAACUACUACUCGAUACGAAAACAGGCAGUUCAUACACACCGUGUUUUGUAAGUACAUUAACAAUAUUAACAAUUGAAAGCAAAUUAUCGCGUGCGUACAUUAGGCUUAAUUUUAGUAGACCAUUAAAUCUGCAUUGAUGUU
Molecule: non-coding RNA, 298 nt
Organism: Paramuricea clavata
Lineage: Eukaryota; Metazoa; Cnidaria; Anthozoa; Malacalcyonacea; Plexauridae
Source: the annotation of a GenBank genome assembly